Molecule: ribosomal RNA, 498 nt
Filed under: uncultured bacterium
Lineage: Bacteria
Description: partial 16S ribosomal RNA
Rfam family: Bacterial small subunit ribosomal RNA
Source: RNAcentral
GAUGAACGCUGGCGGCGUGCCUAAUACAUGCAAGUCGAGCGAACAGAUAAGGAGCUUGCUCCUUUGACGUUAGCGGCGGACGGGUGAGUAACACGUGGGUAACCUACCUAUAAGACUGGAAUAACUCCGGGAAACCGGGGCUAAUGCCGGAUAACAUUUAGAACCGCAUGGUUCUAAAGUGAAAGAUGGUUUCGCUAUCACUUAUAGAUGGACCCGCGCCGUAUUAGCUAGUUGGUAAGGUAACGGCUUACCAAGGCAACGAUACGUAGCCGACCUGAGAGGGUGAGCGGCCACACUGGAACUGAGACACGGUCCAGACUCCUACGGGAGGCAGCAGUAGGGAAACUUCCGCAAUGGGCGAAAGCCUUACGGAGCAACGCCGCGGGAGUGAUGAAGGGCUUCGGGUCGUAAAACUCUGUUAUUAGGGAAGAACAAAUGUGUAAGUAACUGGGCACGUCUUGACGGUACCUAAACAGAAAGCCACGGCUAACUACGUGC